GCCUGGACAGCUCAACUGGUUAAAGUGUGGCGCUGACAACGCCAAGGUUGCAGGUUCAAUCCCCAUAUGGGAUG
Podarcis lilfordi (Lilford's wall lizard) is the source of this 74-nucleotide non-coding RNA. Lineage: Eukaryota; Metazoa; Chordata; Lepidosauria; Squamata; Lacertidae. The record is from the annotation of a GenBank genome assembly.